GAGUUUGAUUAUGGCUCAGAACGAACGCUGGCGGCGCGUCUUAAGCAUGCAAGUCGAACGGCAAGAGAGGAGCUUGCUUCUCUCCUAGAGUGGCGGACUGGUGAGGAACACGUGGGUAAUCUACCCUUAAGAUGGGGAUAGCUGCUAGAAAUAGCAGGUAAUACCGAAUACACUCAAGGCUUCACAAGAAGUUUUGAGGAAAGGAAGCUACGGCUUCGCUUGAGGAUGAGCUUGCGUCCCAUUAGCUUGUUGGUGAGGUAACGGCCCACCAAGGCGACGAUGGGUAUCCGGCCUGAGAGGGUGAACGGACACAUUGGGACUGAGAUACGGCCCAAACUCCUACGGGAGGCAGCAGCUAAGAAUAUUCCGCAAUGGACGGAAGUCUGACGGAGCGACGCCGCGUGGAUGAAGAAGGCUGAAAAGUUGUAAAAUCCUUUUGUUGAUGAAGAAUAAGGGUGAGAGGGAAUGCUCAUCUGAUGACGUAAUCGACGAAUAG
RNAcentral lists this ribosomal RNA (496 nucleotides) under Treponema sp. canine oral taxon 351. Its description in RNAcentral is "bacterial SSU rRNA". It matches the Rfam family "Bacterial small subunit ribosomal RNA", at positions 9 to 489 of the family's 1533-position model. Lineage: Bacteria; Pseudomonadati; Spirochaetota; Spirochaetia; Treponematales; Treponemataceae. The record is from RNAcentral.